GACGAACGCUGGCGGCGUGCUUAACACAUGCAAGUCGAACGGAAAGGCCCUUCGGGGUCCUCGAGUGGCGAACGGGUGAGUAACACGUGGGUGAUCUGCCCUGCACUUUGGGAUAAGCCUGGGAAACUGGGUCUAAUACCGAAUAGGACCACGCGCUUCAUGGUGUGUGGUGGAAAGCUUUUGCGGUGUGGGAUGGGCCCGCGGCCUAUCAGCUUGUUGGUGGGGUAAUGGCCUACCAAGGCGACGACGGGUAGCCGGCCUGAGAGGGUGACCGGCCACACUGGGACUGAGAUACGGCCCAGACUCCUACGGGAGGCAGCAGUGGGGAAUAUUGCACAAUGGGCGCAAGCCUGAUGCAGCGACGCCGCGUGAGGGAUGACGGCCUUCGGGUUGUAAACCUCUUUCAAUAGGGACGAAGCGCAAGUGACGGUACCUAUAGAAGAAGCACCGGCCAACUACGU
Molecule: ribosomal RNA, 461 nt
Filed under: uncultured bacterium
Lineage: Bacteria
Description: partial 16S ribosomal RNA
Rfam family: Bacterial small subunit ribosomal RNA
Source: RNAcentral